Oncorhynchus tshawytscha (Chinook salmon) is the source of this 1095-nucleotide long non-coding RNA. The record is from Ensembl. NCBI's taxonomy places the organism in Eukaryota, Metazoa, Chordata, Actinopteri, Salmoniformes, Salmonidae.
CUGCAUGCUUGUAUUCAUUGCGCACAAUGUCUACAUAUGAAAAGCUGAUGACAGAUCAGAUCUGAAUUACUUUAGUAUGUGUUAAAUACAACUUGAAGACAUAUGCUGAACCUAGACCAGUUGUCUAUGAUACUAUGAGCUGGAGGUAAUGCGGUUGAAACGGGAGAGGAGAUUCAGCAGGAAGCGAAUCGUGACUGAAAAUUGUGCACACAGAUCACCAACCACCGGCAGAUGGAAGAUUGACAAUUUAAAAGAAUAUGGAGGACAACGAAAAAAUGACAAAUGUGACAAUGACAACGUCAGAACGUGUAUUUAGCAGGUAGCCAGCAACGAUGCUAGAAUAGCUUGCUAUCUAUCUGUCUGGGGACUGACAGUGAGGUCACAGGGCUGCGGAGAGCUCGGAAAAAUGUAUAUCGUUUUUGGUGUACUUUUCCUGUAAUUUUUCGACCUCGCCUUAAAUUUUUGCUCGCUAGAUAAAAUGUAGCUAGCAAGGUUCUCUCAGUAGCAAGCGAUCUAGCUGUUGCGCGUAAAAUACUGUAUAUAGACAGGAAAAUACAACCACCUCAGCUAUAGUCGAGUGGCUGGUAACUACAGCAACCAAGUGACUGACAGCCUGUCAAACUUUUUGUCGUUAGUGCAGAUGUUUGUGCCAGUAAGGUAUUUGAAUGGGGAUGCAUUUUUACGGUCAGACUCUAUUGAAUACAACGUCAGCAGCUAUACAUUUCAAGUUUUCAAAGGAGGAAGACGCCAAUAAAGUUAGCUAGCUAGAAGCAGAUCUAACGUUACCUAGCUAUAGUACCUGUGAAACACAUUUCAUUGGUUAUUUUUCCACGUGAGAAAAUGGAGGGAAGCGAAAAUAGAAACAAAAGAAAACUAAUUCCGGACCAGCAAGGACGAACCGGAACAGCAGAGAAAGAUAAUCAAUUACACGACCCUAAACGCUGCCCGAUUCUGCAUAAUCAAAGCAGGCAAUGAGCCCCGUCGGGUCUUUUUAAAAAUUGAGGUCGGGGAAGCGAAACUAAUGCAUGAUGUGUGGGAAAAUUGCUUUUUUUCACUUGAUCUGUCCAACUUAUCACAUUAUCGCUUCUAAAAUGU